AUGGUGAUCAUGGCGUAUCACCUUCUGCGUGGACAUACGGGGAUGGUUUUCUGCCGACCAGGAGACGCGGCCUGGACGAAGGUAGCUAGCCCCAAUUCACAGUACGUAGCCUUCGCUGACUUCGCCUACUCCGAGUCCGAGGGCAAGACGCUCGCCUUGGACAACAAAGGUGUCACGGUGGUGUUCGACGCCGCGACACUCGAGGUUCUCUACCAGGUCGACCUGCCGCCGGCGACCUCGAACUUCAGGUACAAGCAUUCCGGCCGCGAUGCUCCGGAUGAGUCGAGUUGCCUCCGCCUUGUUGCAGUGCCGGGCAAGGUGCUUUUGGUCAAAAUAUGCAUCAAGUCCUCUAGGCCGGAGGGGUUCCUACUCUUCGAGUUAUCGUCCGGGUCGGAGAAAGGUGACGGAGGGCCGGUCUGGCGCAAGGUGGCCGGCAACGACAUCGGUGGCGACCACGAGUUAUUCCUGGAUGGCUAG
RNAcentral lists this ribosomal RNA (477 nucleotides) under Triticum aestivum (bread wheat). Its description in RNAcentral is "partial small subunit ribosomal RNA". Lineage: Eukaryota; Viridiplantae; Streptophyta; Magnoliopsida; Poales; Poaceae. The record is from RNAcentral.